AGAGUUUGAUCCUGGCUCAGGACGAACGCUUGCGGCGUGCCUAAGAAAUGCAAGUCGAACGGACAUCGGAGUAAUCCGGUGUUAGUGGCGAACGGUCGCGUAACACGUAGGCAACCUGCCCUGAAGUGGGGGACAACAGCCCGAAAGGGCUGCUAAUACCGCAUGGGAACAACGAACUGCAUGGUUUGUUGUUCAAAGGCUUUCCGCAAGGGAGGUCGCUUUAGGAUGGGCUUGCGGCCUAUCAGGUAGUUGGUGGGGUAAUGGCUCACCAAGACAACGACGGGUAGCUGGUCUGAGAGGAUGGUCAGCCACAUUGGAACUGAGACACUGUCCAGACUCCUACGGGAGGCUGCAGUCGAGAAUCUUGGGCAAUGCACGAAAGUGUGACCCAGCGACGCCGCGUGGAGGAUGAAGGCGCUCUGCGUUGUAAACUCCUUUUAUGGGAGAAGAAUAGGCCUUGUGCCCUUGACGGUAUCCCAUGAAUAAGCCACGGCUAACUACGUGCCAGCAGCCGCGGUAAUACGUAGGUGGCAAGCGUUGUCCGGAUUUACUGGGCGUAAAGCGAACGCAGGCGGACGCUUAAGUAGGAAGUGAAAGGUUGGAGCUCAACUCUAACAUUGCUCCCUAUACUGGGUGUCUUGAGUAGCGGAGAGGAAGAGGGAACGACACGUGUAGCGGUGAAAUGCGUUGAGAUGUGUCGGAACACCAAUGGCGAAAGCACUCUUCUGGACGCCAACUGACGCUGAGGUUCGAAAGCCAAGGGAGCGAACAGGAUUAGAUACCCCCGUAGUCC
Molecule: ribosomal RNA, 793 nt
Filed under: uncultured soil bacterium
Lineage: Bacteria
Description: bacterial SSU rRNA
Rfam family: Bacterial small subunit ribosomal RNA
Source: RNAcentral